This 20-nucleotide microRNA is filed under the name Monodelphis domestica (gray short-tailed opossum). Its description in RNAcentral is "mdo-miR-7307-5p". Lineage: Eukaryota; Metazoa; Chordata; Mammalia; Didelphimorphia; Didelphidae. The record is from miRBase by way of RNAcentral.
AGUUCAGAUUGCCCUCUGGG